RNAcentral lists this ribosomal RNA (566 nucleotides) under uncultured Dehalococcoides sp. RNAcentral describes it as "bacterial SSU rRNA". It matches the Rfam family "Bacterial small subunit ribosomal RNA", at positions 335 to 916 of the family's 1533-position model. The record is from RNAcentral. Lineage: Bacteria; Bacillati; Chloroflexota; Dehalococcoidia; Dehalococcoidales; Dehalococcoidaceae.
ACUCCUACGGGAGGCAGCAGUGAGGAAUAUUGCACAAUGGGCGAAAGCCUGAUGCAGCAACGCCGCGUGAGGGACGAAGGCCUUCGGGUCGUAAACCUCUUUUCUGGGGGAAGAGACAAGGACGGUACCUCAGGAAUAAGUCUCGGCUAACUACGUGCCAGCAGCCGCGGUAAAACGUAGGAGGCGAGCGUUAUCCGGAUUUACUGGGCGUAAAGCGCACGCAGGCGGCUCCGUUAGUCGGAUGUGAAAGCUCCUGGCUUAACUAGGAGAGGCCAUUCGAUACUGCGGGGCUUGAGGUUGGGAGAGGGGUGUGGAAUUCCCGGUGUAGUGGUGGAAUGCGUAGAUAUCGGGAGGAACACCAGUGGCGAAGGCGGCACCCUGGCCCACACCUGACGCUGAGGUGCGAAAGCGUGGGUAGCAAACAGGAUUAGAUACCCUGGUAGUCCACGCUGUAAACUAUGUCAACUAGGUGUUGGUAGUGUUACACUAUCAGUGCCGAAGCAAACGCGUUAAGUUGACCGCCUGGGGACUACGGCCGCAAGGCUAAAACUCAAAGGAAUUGACGG